This 1051-nucleotide long non-coding RNA is filed under the name Marmota monax (woodchuck). The record is from RNAcentral. Lineage: Eukaryota; Metazoa; Chordata; Mammalia; Rodentia; Sciuridae.
UUACUUAUUCUUGGAAGUUACAUUUAACUAUUAUUAUUAUUUAAAAUGUCCAGGAAUAGCUGUGUUUUGGCUUUAGCUGUCUUUGCUAAGUGUUUAAGAUGAAGCAAGUCAAACUGACUUUUGUUUCUAUCUAUUGUUAACAGUCAGCUGUGUUUCCAUGGGAGUCCUGGGGGAACUUUACAGCAGUUUCUCAGUUCCGCUAGUGCCAUUUGCGCUAGGAUGGGUCCAGGCCUUGCUUGACCAUGUGGCUUCCCUUGGAAGCAUCAGGGAUGUCUCCCUUCUCUGUUGACCCUUCUCUUCAUAGCAAAUGCACUGAUGGCUUUCUGUCCUCCAGUGGUCUCAUUGGCAUAUUCCUGUGCUGUGGCAUUUAUUGCUGCAUCAAUCUGGUUCCAGUACUAAUGAAUUCUUGUUUCUCUUAUAGACCACCCAUCUACUCAAAUGGCCCUCCAGCCUAUUACUUCUCAAUCGGACUUCUAUCAUGGACCCCUCGAUAGACCUGAUUUUUAAAGGGGACUCCAAACUGCUUGCCCAACAUCGUCCCCUUUCAGCCUGAAGAAGCCAGAACGAUCUUUGCCCCCUUUCCUUACAGCAGUAAGGAGUUCCCAAAAUUAGAGGGGGGAAUGAAGCCAGAUUUAAAAUUAGGUAGUCAGUGUAGUUAGGUAAAUCUGGUCUAAUAUCGAGUGAAAUCUAAAUGGAGGCCAAGUUGAGAAUGAAUUUCCAGGAAAGUUGAACAACUCUCCUGGAAUGUUAAUGAAGUCCAGGAAAAAGCCCAAGGCCAAAGUCCAUCCCAAGGAAAUGUUAAUGAACAGCCCCAGCAGAUUUAAAGAUAGCCCAUCCCAAAGAAGUGUUAAUGAAGUCCUUCCCGCCCAGAUUACUUCUUUGGCCCACCUGUGUCCCAACCCUUGGGCCUUCCCACCUACAUUCCAUCACUGAAAACUAUAAAAUGGAGAGACAACCGCACUUCCACGGAUUCCAUCUCUUGGGUCCCCUUCUUCCUCCGGGAGAAGUCUUUUCUGCUGUCAUUUAAUAAACUUCUAAUUUUCCACUCUGA